Molecule: ribosomal RNA, 273 nt
Filed under: Triticum aestivum (bread wheat)
Lineage: Eukaryota; Viridiplantae; Streptophyta; Magnoliopsida; Poales; Poaceae
Description: partial small subunit ribosomal RNA
Source: RNAcentral
AUGUAUGCCGGUUCCAACCCCGCCUCAGAGAUUAGGAACUCUGACUUGCUCUGCAGCAUACCACCUAAACGUCGCCUUCAGGUAAUCCACUUUGGCGGCGAUCUUCCCCUCGCUGAGGCGUCCAACAGCGUUCAAUGCGUGUCUGAACAUCCUACAGCCACGAGGCACACCUAUACCUUCGGCAAGUGCCACCACUUCCUGGACGCGCUCCAAGUUGGAGGCGAGCAGCCAUGGCUGGGCGACGCUCAACUUGGCAAUGUUGGAGUCACCUAG